This 71-nucleotide transfer RNA is filed under the name Parcubacteria bacterium C7867-007. RNAcentral's name for it is "tRNA-Gly". It matches the Rfam family "tRNA". From Rfam's summary of the family: Transfer RNA (tRNA) molecules are approximately 80 nucleotides in length. Their secondary structure includes four short double-helical elements and three loops (D, anti-codon, and T loops). The record is from RNAcentral. Lineage: Bacteria; Candidatus Parcubacteria.
GCGGGAUUAGUUUAAUGGUAGAACGCGAACCUUCCAAGUUCGACGCAGGAGUUCGAUUCUCCUAUCCCGCA